Phyllostomus discolor (pale spear-nosed bat) is the source of this 102-nucleotide small nuclear RNA. The record is from RefSeq and is a predicted model, not a curated record. Lineage: Eukaryota; Metazoa; Chordata; Mammalia; Chiroptera; Phyllostomidae.
GCGCUCACUUCAGCAGCACAUAUACUAAAACUGGAACAUGCAGAGAAGACGAGCAUGGCCACUGCACAAGGAUGCUCAAAGCAUGAUUCAUUAUAAUUGGUU